RNAcentral lists this long non-coding RNA (205 nucleotides) under Citrus maxima (pomelo). Its description in RNAcentral is "long non-coding RNA (CMAX_LNC003674)". Lineage: Eukaryota; Viridiplantae; Streptophyta; Magnoliopsida; Sapindales; Rutaceae. The record is from RNAcentral.
UGUUUUGAAUUCUUAUUUACUAGUUCAAAAAGAUUUGGACUUUAUUAAAGAUUUCAUGUUAGUAAUAAUGCCCUUACAAAUAACAAAAUGUACGCUCUUUCUUUCUAACUUAUUGCAAUACAAAGUCAUAUUUAUUGCAAGUAAAAUCUUGGUCAUAUUUUUCCACUUGAAUGCUAAAUGCUCUUUUUUGGAAAGAGAAUAACAG